Molecule: ribosomal RNA, 253 nt
Filed under: uncultured bacterium
Lineage: Bacteria
Description: partial 16S ribosomal RNA
Rfam family: Bacterial small subunit ribosomal RNA
Source: RNAcentral
UACGAAGGGUGCAAACGUUGCUCGGAAUCAUUGGGCGUAAAGCGCACGUAGGCGGCUUCGCAAGUCGGAUGUGAAAUCCCAUGGCCCAACCAUGGACGUGCAUUCGAAACUGCGAAGCUUGAGUAUGGAAGAGGGUCGCGGAAUUCCCGGUGUAGAGGUGAAAUUCGUAGAUAUCGGGAGGAACACCAGUGGCGAAGGCGGCGACCUGGGCCAAUACUGACGCUGAGGUGCGAAAGCGUGGGGAGCAAACAGG